Hipposideros armiger (great roundleaf bat) is the source of this 167-nucleotide long non-coding RNA. RefSeq lists it as uncharacterized. The transcript is spliced from 3 exons. The record is from RefSeq and is a predicted model, not a curated record. Lineage: Eukaryota; Metazoa; Chordata; Mammalia; Chiroptera; Hipposideridae.
AGAGGACAAGCAGCCCAGGUCAACCUAGAGGAGGCUCAGGAAGACUGAAAUGCUUUGUUGCUUCAGCCUAGGGAGACUGGUGUGUGACUAAUAACCACUAGACCAGGAGUUGGCAAACUGCGGGUCGCCAGCCACAUGCUUCUUUUUGGUCCAGUAGUGGAGGACAU